Molecule: ribosomal RNA, 434 nt
Filed under: uncultured bacterium
Lineage: Bacteria
Description: partial 16S ribosomal RNA
Rfam family: Bacterial small subunit ribosomal RNA
Source: RNAcentral
GCGAACGCUGGCGGCAGGCUUAACACAUGCCAGUCGAGCGGGCAUCUUCGGAUGUCAGCGGCAGACGGGUGAGUAACACGUGGGAACGUACCCUUCGGUUCGGAACAACUCUGGGAAACUGGAGCUAAUACCGGAUACGCCCUUAUGGGGAAAGGUUUACUGCCGACGGAUCGGCCCGCGUCUGAUUAGCUAGUUGGUGGGGUAACGGCCUACCAAGGCGACGAUCAGUAGCUGGUCUGAGAGGAUGAUCAGCCACACUGGGACUGAGACACGGCCCAGACUCCUACGGGAGGCAGCAGUGGGGAAUAUUGGACAAUGGGCGCAAGCCUGAUCCAGCCAUGCCGCGUGAGUGAUGAAGGCCUUAGGGUUGUAAAGCUCUUUUGUCCGGGACGAUAAUGACGGUACCGGAAGAAUAAGCCCCGGCUAACUUCGUG